This 490-nucleotide ribosomal RNA is filed under the name uncultured bacterium. RNAcentral describes it as "partial 16S ribosomal RNA". It matches the Rfam family "Bacterial small subunit ribosomal RNA", at positions 30 to 507 of the family's 1533-position model. The record is from RNAcentral.
AUUGAACGCUGGCGGCAGGCCUAACACAUGCAAGUCGAACGGUAACAGGAAGAAGCUUGCUUCUUUGCUGACGAGUGGCGGACGGGUGAGUAAUGUCUGGGAAACUGCCUGAUGGAGGGGGAUAACUACUGGAAACGGUAGCUAAUACCGCAUAACGUCGCAAGACCAAAGAGGGGGACCUUCGGGCCUCUUGCCAUCGGAUGUGCCCAGAUGGGAUUAGCUAGUAGGUGGGGUAACGGCUCACCUAGGCGACGAUCCGUAGCUGGUCUGAGAGGAUGACCGGCCACACUGGAACUGAGACACGGUCCAGACUCCUACGGGAGGCAGCAGUGGGGAAUAUUGCACAAUGGGCGCAAGCCUGAUGCAGCCAUGCCGCGUGUAUGAAGAAGGCCUUCGGGUUGUAAAGUACUUUCAGCGGGGAGGAGGGGAGUAAAGUUAAUACCUUUGCUCAUUGACGUUACCCGCAGAAGAAGCACCGGCUAACUCCGUG